AUGAGGAGACACUGGGGAGCUCUGCUGGGAAUCCUGUGGCUCCAGGUUUGCUGGGUGAGAGGGAUGACGGUGGAGCAGAGCCCUUCAGCCCUGAACCUCCAGGAGGGAGCCAGCUAUACUCUGAAGUGCAAUUUUUCUAGCAGUCCAUACAGUGUGCAGUGGUUCCGACAGCAUCCCGGGGGCAGCGACCUCACCAGGCUGUUUUAUAUAACUUCAGGGAUGCAGCACAGUGGGAGGUUAAACUGCACAGUGAAUACUAAGGAACAGUUCAGCACCCUCCAUAUCACGGCGUCCCGACUGGAAGACUCAGCCACCUACCUGUGUGCGGUGGAGGCACAGUGCUCCCCAGUGAUCUGCAGCCUGCACCCAAACUGCAGCUGUGCCUGCAAGCCCCCGCCCUUCCCUGGAGCUUCCACUGCAGCCAUUGCAUAUUUUCAGAUUUAUGUAA
Enhydra lutris kenyoni (northern sea otter) is the source of this 448-nucleotide non-coding RNA. The record is from the annotation of a RefSeq genome assembly. NCBI's taxonomy places the organism in Eukaryota, Metazoa, Chordata, Mammalia, Carnivora, Mustelidae.